Molecule: ribosomal RNA, 388 nt
Filed under: uncultured eukaryote
Lineage: Eukaryota
Description: SSU rRNA
Rfam family: Eukaryotic small subunit ribosomal RNA
Source: RNAcentral
AGCUCCAAUAGCGUAUAUUAAAGUUGUUGCAGUUAAAAAGCUCGUAGUUGGAUUUCUGGUGGGAGCGACCGGUCCGUCCCGCGAGGGAUGCGCACUGGUGUCGCCUCCGGCCAUCCUUGGGGAGAGCGACCCUGGCAUUAGGUUGUCGGGGCCGGGAUCCUCAUCGUUUACUGUGAAAAAAUUAGAGUGUUUAAAGCAGGCUUACGCCGUUGAAUACAUUAGCAUGGAAUAAUAAGAUAGGACUUUGGCGGUCUAUUUUGUUGGUUUGCACGCCAAGGUAAUGAUUAAUAGGGAUAGUUGGGGGUAUUCAUAUUCAAUUGUCAGAGGUGAAAUUCUUGGAUUUAUGGAAGAUGAACUACUGCGAAAGCAUUUACCAAGGAUGUUUUCA